RNAcentral lists this ribosomal RNA (484 nucleotides) under uncultured bacterium. RNAcentral describes it as "partial 16S ribosomal RNA". It matches the Rfam family "Bacterial small subunit ribosomal RNA", at positions 30 to 507 of the family's 1533-position model. The record is from RNAcentral.
AUUGAACGCUGGCGGAAUGCUUUACACAUGCAAGUCGAACGGCAGCACGGGGGCAGCCCUGGUGGCGAGUGGCGAACGGGUGAGUAAUACAUCGGAACGUGCCCGGUCGUGGGGGAUAACGUAGCGAAAGUUACGCUAAUACCGCAUACGAUCUGAGGAUGAAAGCGGGGGACCUUCGGGCCUCGCGCGAUCGGAUCGGCCGAUGUCAGAUUAGGUAGUUGGUGGGGUAAAGGCCUACCAAGCCGACGAUCUGUAGCUGGUCUGAGAGGACGACCAGCCACACUGGGACUGAGACACGGCCCAGACUCCUACGGGAGGCAGCAGUGGGGAAUUUUGGACAAUGGGCGCAAGCCUGAUCCAGCCAUUCCGCGUGCAGGACGAAGGCCUUCGGGUUGUAAACUGCUUUUGUACGGAACGAAAAGGCUCUGGCUAAUACCUGGGGCUCAUGACGGUACCGUAAGAAUAAGCACCGGCUAACUACGUG